UGGCUAGCACGCCCUAGAGAUUGAGAACUCCUCCCUUGCUUAUCGCUCGCCGGGAUUUCCAACAUAUGAAAGAUUAAGCCAUUUAACCUCCAGCAGUGCCCAGGAAAAUGUUAGAGAUCGGAAAGAACUGUUAUUGGAUAGCCCCAUUUUACUUCUAAUUUGCCAAUUGUCAAUGGUGAAGUUUGGCAUCGUAUAUCAUUGAAAGAAUUUUUAUACCGAGUAGCAUCUUGAGGAUGAUUGGGGAUAGUAAUCUCUACGCAUGUAAUCAAGGCUUGUACUCCUAGCUAUGAAUGGGACAAAAUUGCCACAUCUAUCUUGCAUGUUACAGUCUACUAACGGGCACCAACCUCUAGGCUGUUCUCAAAAUCUGCGGUUCUGUUAUGAAUUGGCAAGGCAUCGUUGUUAAAAACAUUUCCGACAACGUGCAUCUACAUGUUCUCGAAGUACAUUUUUCCCGUUAUACAAGUCUCUUUUUCGCGUUGUAGUACACGAUUAAUUUGAAACAGUUAAGGGGUAUAAUUCUGAGCUUCUUUGCAUAUUUUCAAGGACAUUAGUGAAUGGACAAGCAAAGUAAAACGGACACGAGAUCUCUGGAUAAACUAUCUAUGCACUUGCCAUGCCCGCAUCUUCUCUCGACAGUU
RNAcentral lists this unclassified non-coding RNA (641 nucleotides) under Hevea brasiliensis (rubber tree). The record is from RNAcentral. Lineage: Eukaryota; Viridiplantae; Streptophyta; Magnoliopsida; Malpighiales; Euphorbiaceae.